CCCUUAGAUGUUCUGGGCCGCACGCGCGCUACACUGUUCGACGCAGCGAGUCUUAACCUUGACCGAAAGGUUUGGGUAAUCUUCAGCAAAGUCGAACGUGAUGGGGAUCGAUCAUUGCAAUUAUUGAUCGUGAACGAGGAAUUCCUAGUAAGUGCAAGUCAUCAGCUUGCGCUGAUUACGUCCCUGCCCUUUGUACACACCGCCCGUCGCUACUACCGAUUGAAUGUUCCGGUGAGCUCUUCGGACUGCGCGGUCUGCAGUUUCUGCGUUCCGUGCGGAAAGUUGCGCAAACCUUAACAUUUAGAGGAGGGAGAAGUCGUAACA
Molecule: ribosomal RNA, 324 nt
Filed under: uncultured eukaryote
Lineage: Eukaryota
Description: partial 18S ribosomal RNA
Rfam family: Eukaryotic small subunit ribosomal RNA
Source: RNAcentral